UACGGAGGGUGCAAGCGUUAUCCGGAUUCACUGGGUUUAAAGGGUGCGUAGGUGGGUUGGUAAGUCAGUGGUGGAAUCUCCGAGCUUAACUUGGAAACUGCCAUUGAUACUAUCAGUCUUGAAUACCGUGGAGGUCAGCGGAAUAUGUCAUGUAGCGGUGAAAUGCUUAGAUAUGACAUAGAACACCAAUUGCGAAGGCAGCUGACUACGCGAAUAUUGACACUGAUGCACGAAAGCGUGGGGAUCAAACAGG
Molecule: ribosomal RNA, 253 nt
Filed under: uncultured bacterium
Lineage: Bacteria
Description: partial 16S ribosomal RNA
Rfam family: Bacterial small subunit ribosomal RNA
Source: RNAcentral